RNAcentral lists this long non-coding RNA (2998 nucleotides) under Pelobates cultripes (western spadefoot toad). The record is from RNAcentral. Lineage: Eukaryota; Metazoa; Chordata; Amphibia; Anura; Pelobatidae.
CCUGGAUGCCAAGCUGACAAGACUUGCAUGCCUGAGCUCCACAAACCAGGUAAGAAAUUCGACGAUAAACCCAGGCCGCUUCCUCACCUGAACCAGUGCCGACAUUGUCCUAGUCAAGGGAACAACGGCGCACCCAGUGACACUAAACUUUGGCGCUUCACCUACCGGAACGCUGCCAUUGAGGCUUGCGGCCUACACAAGUGUGGGCUCCAGAGAGACGGCCGCUCUCUGAGUCCUUUACCUGGCAGAGUGAGUCCAACGACAGGCUUCCCCCCCCUUUGGACCGGUGGGAGUCAUCUCUGUCUCCCCUGCCACACUCCUUCUGACCCAGCUGGCUAUAUGCUGCUGACCUGCUACACACUCAAGCUAACGCAAUCAUGGUUAAAAUGGCAGCUGCACUCGAUUUCAGACAGCCUAACAAAUCACACCCGGCGAGACCCAGGCCAGACCCCUUUGAGCGACUAACACUUAACGUAGACACAAUCCUGGCAAGAUUCUGGGUGAAAAUGGAGGCUCAUGAAGUGGAGACAUCGCACAAGUUACAGGAGACAGGGCUUCGCACCGACCUGCAAGAGGUGAGCGGGUCCCCUCUGGGCGCACCCCCCGUCAAGCAUUUGGAAAUACUCCAUCAGGCCCUCCUGGGCAUAAGACCACCAGGGAUAGAAUACCCUUGCAUUUGCCAUGGAGGCUGAAGUACCACCGCCGCUGGCGGCUACGUACCACCAGGAGCUUCUGCCGUCCUUUGAAAGGGAGAGACUUGGCCUUGUGUUGGCAAAUCCGAGUAUGUGGCCGGGGCUGGAGGGCUCCCACGCUCGACUCCUGACUUGAAAUGCCCCCUGACAGCCUCCACGCCUCUCCCAACCGGGGAAUAGGCUGAAGAUGGACUCUCUGGACGGGGUUAACCCUUAUCCCACCACUGAACUGUCUGCUGCUGCAACUUAUUGGGUUUCUAAUGUUUACUCUUUUUAUGUUUACUCUUUUUAUGGUAAUCAUUACUACUACUACUCACAAAUAAGGUGCCUUGUCGGGAAAUCUUGUGCCUCCAUGGCCAAUGUAGCUAUGAUUUUUGGGAGUGUUGCCCGGGGGGUUAUUCCUUAUUACUGUCUUCGUGCAGUAUGGCAUGUUUUAUAAUUUAAUUGUUUUGGGGCCGACUUAUCACUAAGCUGAGCAUGCUGCAAUAACAUACCUAUCGCAUGCAAAAGGUAGACUCGAUGUCCCUUUAACGGUGGUUAACCCCUACCUUACUAUAUAUGGUGUUAAGCUGUCUACCUAACCCUGACAUCACUGAUUUACCAUAAGCUAUUCCCCAUAUACAUAGCAAGUAAUAUGCCCUAAGAUGGGCGGUGUACAUCCUGCGACAAUACUCUGAUAAUCCACUCAUGUUCAUACUGUUACUAUCAUAUGUGCAUAUCUAACACAUUUUUGUUGUGGCUACACCAAGGUUUUCAGUCAUACUUGCUAAGGCAUUAUCUAGCUAAUCCUCCACUACGUCUCUAGACAUGUUGAACAAGCCAGUUGCCUAUAUGUUCAGUAUUAUUAUUUUAUUAUUUUAUUUUAGAAUUUGGGCAGAUUCAGCGAAUGGUCUAGCUGAAUUAUUCUGGGCUGCGCACAGACAAGCUAUGUUUCGGCUAAGCUUGUGGCUCCAUAAUAUCACAAAACUACCAGCUUGUUUAUGCUAAAUGAAUAACCUGUUUGUCUUAUCUCACAGCUGACAUGUUAGUUCCACUCUUGCUAAACCUACAUUAAAAUAUAAAAUGUGUAAUGUUAUAUUAUGUUAUAUUAUACCACUCAAAGGUCGCUAAUAUGUUGACCAUUAUGCUUGCAAUCGCUGUCGUGGCAUUGCUUGUUGCUUUUCCUUUAAUGCACGAUAAAAUAAAGAACUAUUAAAUAAAAUCAAGGAUGUGCAUAGUAAUUAUACAGGAGAGAUUCCUUCCCUCGAGAGGUGCAUAUUAAUAACUGUCAGGAAUUGAAAGUUAAAUGUAUAUCUCAUAAUUCUGAGAAUAUAGAGGUUAAUAAACUGUCUUUAGGUGGAAACAGAAAUUAAUGGAAGCCCUCCAGUCUAGAAGAGAUGUGUUCUCAAACAGAAACAUCUAUGUAGGAUGUGCUCAGUGUGCCCAAACAGACCAAAUUAGUGAUUCAUCUCUUUUUAGAAACAGAGAUCUUAAAGUAAUGAAGUAGUUAAGCUAUACCGCCAUUCAUUAAUGUAUAUCUUAGAAGCAUGAUAUAUUCAUAUUCUGUCCUCUGCAGUCUCUUCGUGAAAUGAUCAGUUAUAGACUUACAGCCUCAAGUGACUCCUUGGAGACAUCUAUUUCUAACAGCUGGAGCUAUUUCUGCUAGAAAGAUCCUAUGUCACAUUAAAUAGCUCAUGGGAGCAGGUGAUGGCAAAUCCAUUUAAAAGGCAUUGAACAAGAUGGUGGGAAAGGUGACAUUUAAAAUAUAGUCAUAUUAUAUGAACGUAAGCUAUACAGAAUACGUCUACUGUUAAGAUGCUAGUCAUUUAUGAAUGUAAAUGGCUUUAAAAUGAAACAGUAUAAGCAAUCAGCCAAUCAGCAAAUACAUAGAAUUCAAAAUAAGGAUGAAUUGCCAGGAAAUACACAGGAAACCAAAAUCCAAAGACACAUCCACUUCCAGGGAUGUGUCCAAAAUCCAAAGACACAUCCACUUCCAGGGAUCCUUUUUAAUAUUAGCUGGUACCAUGUGUGCUGGGUUGAUGAUGUUGGGGAUUUUUAGUGGACCAAUUAAUUUACCAGUUUGGGUAAAUUCUAAGAAUAAAGAAUUUCGAUAGCUAUAGCAUUCAUACUCAAACUCCUGUAAAUGUGUUCUUCGAUACAAGUUCAAUGUGUUUUAAUAUUUCUGUCUUUUUAAACAUUUCUGGACUACUCAUUUGGCAGAGUCCUGGCAGCAUAAUAAACAUGUAAACUAAAAAUAAAACAAUCGUGCCAUUAUUUACUGUCAAGGAAAGUUAGCAUGCUGUCAGAUAAUGUAAUGCACAAUUCUG